Molecule: ribosomal RNA, 496 nt
Filed under: uncultured bacterium
Lineage: Bacteria
Description: partial 16S ribosomal RNA
Rfam family: Bacterial small subunit ribosomal RNA
Source: RNAcentral
GAUGAACGCUGGCGGCGUGCCUAAUACAUGCAAGUCGAGCGAACGGACGAGAAGCUUGCUUCUCUGAUGUUAGCGGCGGACGGGUGAGUAACACGUGGAUAACCUACCUAUAAGACUGGGAUAACUUCGGGAAACCGGAGCUAAUACCGGAUAAUAUUUUGAACCGCAUGGUUCAAAAGUGAAAGACGGUCUUGCUGUCACUUAUAGAUGGAUCCGCGCUGCAUUAGCUAGUUGGUAAGGUAACGGCUUACCAAGGCAACGAUGCAUAGCCGACCUGAGAGGGUGAUCGGCCACACUGGAACUGGGAAACGGUCCAGACUCCUACGGGGGGCAGCAGUAGGAAAUCUUCCGCAAUGGGCGAAAGCCUGACGGAGCAACGCCGCGUGAGUGAUGAAGGUCUUCGGAUCGUAAAACUCUGUUAUUAGGGAAGAACAUAUGUGUAAGUAACUGUGCACAUCUUGACGGUACCUAAUCAGAAGGCCACGGCUAACUACGU